Molecule: ribosomal RNA, 398 nt
Filed under: uncultured bacterium
Lineage: Bacteria
Description: partial 16S ribosomal RNA
Rfam family: Bacterial small subunit ribosomal RNA
Source: RNAcentral
CCUACGGGUGGCAGCAGUGGGGAAUAUUGCACAAUGGGCGAAAGCCUGAUGCAGCAACGCCGCGUGAGUGAUGAAGGCCUUCGGGUCGGAAAGCUCUGUCCUCAAGGAAGAGAAGGACGGUAGUGGAGGAGGAAGCCGAGGCUAACUACGGGCCAGCAGCCGCGGGAAUACGUAGGGGGCGAGCGUGAUCCGGAUGUACGGGGCGUAAAGGGUGCGUAGGUGGGUUCUUAAGUCAGAUGUUAAAGGCUACGGCUCAACCGUAGUACGCCUUUGAAACUGGGGGACUUGCAUGCAGGAGAGGAAAGUGGAAUUCCUAGUGUAGCGGUGAAAUGCGUAGAUAUUAGGAGGAACACCAGUUGCGAAGGCGGCUCUCUGGACUGUACCUGCCACUGUGGCAC